GAAGGCUGAAAUUCGCCUUCAUGAAGCCGGAAUUGCUAGUAAUGGCAGGUCAGCAUACUGCCGUGAAUACGUUCCCGGGCCUUGUACACACCGCCCGUCACACCAUGAGAGUUGGGAAUACCCGAAGCCUGUGAGCUAACAUUUAUGAGGCAGCAGUCGGAGGUAGAAUCAAUGAUUGGGGUGAAGUCGUAACAAGGUAGC
This 201-nucleotide ribosomal RNA is filed under the name uncultured bacterium. RNAcentral's name for it is "partial 16S ribosomal RNA". It matches the Rfam family "Bacterial small subunit ribosomal RNA", at positions 1300 to 1500 of the family's 1533-position model. The record is from RNAcentral.